UAAUUUUAAAACAAGAGGUGGCUGGACAGCUGGCUUCUCUGGCAUAAUACUGUAAAGGGGCCUUAGAAAACACUAACAUACACACCCUAUUAGGUACAAGUUGUUAUGUGGAAUCACAGGACCUGAUGGAGAGCUUACGACAUAAUGGUUUCUUUGGACGAAUAAAAUACAUCAUUUUCAAGAAAGAGCAAAAAAAAAAAAAAAAAAGGCUUUCUGUGCAUUUUGUAUUUUAAGCAUGAAGAGAUGUUAAAAUUUCAACACCAUGUACUGCAGAGAUGGACAACUUAAAUGAUGGAGGGGCUGCAAUUUUUCAUUAGCACUACUGGGGGAAGACACUUACCUAACCAGACAAAAUUGCCAUACAUGGACAAAAAAUGUGCUGGCCCUCUUGUAGCUAUAAUCUGCAUACAGUUGCAGAAAA
This is a long non-coding RNA of Syngnathus acus (greater pipefish), 421 nucleotides long. RefSeq lists it as uncharacterized. Lineage: Eukaryota; Metazoa; Chordata; Actinopteri; Syngnathiformes; Syngnathidae. The record is from RefSeq and is a predicted model, not a curated record. The transcript has 2 exons.